Non-coding RNA from Cinara cedri, 418 nucleotides. The record is from the annotation of a GenBank genome assembly. NCBI's taxonomy places the organism in Eukaryota, Metazoa, Arthropoda, Insecta, Hemiptera, Aphididae.
UAUUGUAUAAAUAUUUUAAGCAAACAUAAUUAAGGCAUGAUCAAAGCAAUGGAUCGAAGGCACCGGUAUAGAUAUAGAUAUAGUACCUGUAUCCGUAGUAUAUAAGUAGUAAAUAAUAGAUAAUAGACAGAUAAUAUAAUAUAUUAUACAUAUUAUGAAGACUAGAAUAAGGAGGAAGCCCGUAAAAAAAACCGAAAAUAAAUCAGCGGAACAGUAUUUUGGUCGAACCAUGUUAAAGUUAAAUUUCACACUGAGCUGUGAGAAUAAUCUGUAAAUCAUGCUAUGCUGUAAACCAUGAUAAAGUAAUGCUGUUAUGAUUUAUAAUAGACAAUGUAUUUAUACAUCGAGUAAAACACUAAUGAAUAAACUGAAGAUACAUGGUAAUGACAACAAAACACGAUACGUGUUAAUAGCAUGG